CAGUAGCCACGGUAAUACAGAGGCCUCAAGCGUUGUUCGGAUUCAUUGGGCGUAAAGGGUGCGUAGGUGGCUUGGUAAGUUGAAGGUGAAAUCUCGGGGCUUAACCCCGAAACUGCCUUCAAUACUGCUAGGCUCGAGGACUGUAGAGGAGAAUGGAAUUCACGGUGUAGCAGUGAAGUGCGUAGAUAUCGUGAGGAAGACCAGUGGCGAAGGCGAUUCUCUGGGCAGUUCCUGACACUGAGGCACGAAGGCCAGGGGAGCAAACGGGAUUAGAUACCCGCGUAGUCCCUGUCUCUUAUAC
This 301-nucleotide ribosomal RNA is filed under the name uncultured bacterium. RNAcentral describes it as "partial 16S ribosomal RNA". It matches the Rfam family "Bacterial small subunit ribosomal RNA", at positions 509 to 807 of the family's 1533-position model. The record is from RNAcentral.